CGUGAUCAAAGGACUGAAACUCAGGGCUUUUGAUUGUUAUAUCUAAAGACGGAGCCGCGCUAUACUUCUGUGGUGAGACAAGAAUAUUGUUAGCCUGAAGAUAAUUAAAUGUUUAUUCUUCUGUCAAUAAAAAUCUGCUUUAAAUAUUGUGUUGAAGUCAUUGGUUAUAUUAUUUCGAUAUCUAUAAUGUCUGAUGUUGAGGUAGGCCUACACACAGUGUGGUUUUAUUAGAAACCCUGAUAGCAAUAGACUUCGGGGCGGAUCCGCCUUCAAGUCGCCUGGUCCGCUGUACUCUCAGAUUCAAUUCGGCCACACGCACAGAAUAUGCCCCGCCUCCGCACAACGCACUGUCAACUCGCGGACUCGCAACUGACGCUGGGCGAAUUCUCUGACCGAACGCGCCUUUUUUAAACCGUCACAGUCACUUAAUCCAUCUCCUCACACAGUGGAAACGCUGGAGCUGGCAGGUCGGUGAGGACGGAACACGGUAAGAAUAGUUAAAAUAUGCUUUAUUUGUACAGUUACGUAGCCAGUAACAUUACUGUUGAUUGCUUUGCUUGAUGUUUUUAAUUCUGAAGUGAUUUUUGCAAGCCAAGUUUCAGCACAUUGUCAUUAGCUUUUUGAGUAAAAGCUUUUUGGACGGAAUGUCUUUAUCUCUCUAGGAGGUGGGGUGAUUCAAUCGGAUUUUAAUCCAACCCUGAGCGCAUGUUUUCUCCCCUUUCCAGUAAAAUAGCAGGCGAGAUAAACUGAUGUUAGGCCUAACGUUAACGUUACCUGUUUUUUUUACACUGAACUUCUGGUAUAGUUUGAGUCUUUUGUUAAUAUUUUGACAUAUAUUCUCCACCUCCCCAUGUAAUGUUGUUUCAGAUAAUUUUCAUAUCAUAUUAAAUCUUAAAAUACUGUGCGUGUGUGUGUGUGUGUGUGUGUGUGUGUGUGCGCGCGUGUGUGUUCUGUUGUGUGUGUGUUAUUUUGCAGCUUACAGCUCAUUCAAGUGCCACUGGUCUUGCAGUAUUUCAUCUUUUCCAAACAACCGAGUAAACUUACAGCUCAUUCAAGUGCCACUGGUCUUGCAGUAUUUCAUCUUUUCCAAACAACCGAGUAAACUUACAGCUCAUUCAAGUGCCACUGGUCUUGCAGUAUUUCAUCUUUUCCAAACAACCGAGUAAAUUUACAGCUCAUUCAAGUGCCACUGGUCUGUUUUUGGAGAAUUUCAUCUUUAAGGUGCUGUGAGAAAGAGCCAUGUCUCCCGUGCCGCCACUGAUGAUGACAUUACAAAACACGUAAUACGGUGGUUCAACUUGGCAGCAGAUAGGGGAAACUCAAGGAGCCGUCCCACUGUCAGCACCCAACAGUAGCGUUUCGGUGUUUCACAGUUAACUUCUGUGUUUUGAAGUGUUCGUUUAACAGUUAAGUAGUAACAGUUGAGAUAAAGUUUACUACUUUAAAUAGUUUUGUUUCUAUUCAUCUUCAAAAAACCCAGUUUCCACACAAAAAAAUAAGCAGUGCAACAUUAAUAAGAAUAAAUGUUUCUUGAGCUACAUUAAA
Triplophysa rosa is the source of this 1545-nucleotide long non-coding RNA. RefSeq lists it as uncharacterized. The record is from RefSeq and is a predicted model, not a curated record. Lineage: Eukaryota; Metazoa; Chordata; Actinopteri; Cypriniformes; Nemacheilidae. The transcript is spliced from 5 exons.